GGGAGGUGUGUGUUUGGGGUCAGACCAACCCCCCACACUGGAGACGACUGCACACCUGGACCUUCAUAGAAAAAAUAGACCAAAUAAAGAAAAACCCUUGAAGGAGUAGGAGAGUGACAAGAAUCGUGCAAACUAACAGGCGGGCUG
Molecule: non-coding RNA, 147 nt
Organism: Salmo salar (Atlantic salmon)
Lineage: Eukaryota; Metazoa; Chordata; Actinopteri; Salmoniformes; Salmonidae
Source: RefSeq, a predicted model, not a curated record